GAUGAACGCUGGCGGCGUGCCUAAUACAUGCAAGUCGAGCGAACAGACGAGGAGCUUGCUCCUCUGACGUUAGCGGCGGACGGGUGAGUAACACGUGGAUAACCUACCUAUAAGACUGGGAUAACUUCGGGAAACCGGAGCUAAUACCGGAUAAUAUAUUGAACCGCAUGGUUCAAUAGUGAAAGACGGUUUUGCGGUCACUUAUCGAUGGAUCCGCGCCGAAUUAGCUAGUUGGUAAGGUAACGGCUUACCAAGGGAACGAUGCGUAGCCGACCUGAGAGGGUGAUCGGCCACACUGGAACUGAACCACGGACCAGACUCCUACGGGAGGCAGCAGUAGCGAAUCUUCCGCAAUGGGCGAAAGCCUGACGGAGCACCGCCGCGUGAGUGAUGAAGGUCUUCGGAUCGUAAAACUCUGUUAUUAGGGAAGAACAAAUGUGUAAGUAACUAUGCACGUCUUGACGGUACCUAAUCAGAAAGCCACGGCUAACUACGUG
Molecule: ribosomal RNA, 497 nt
Filed under: uncultured bacterium
Lineage: Bacteria
Description: partial 16S ribosomal RNA
Rfam family: Bacterial small subunit ribosomal RNA
Source: RNAcentral